RNAcentral lists this unclassified non-coding RNA (287 nucleotides) under air metagenome. RNAcentral describes it as "partial contains small subunit ribosomal RNA, internal transcribed spacer 1, and 5.8S ribosomal RNA". The stretch from base 1 to 46 matches the Rfam family "Eukaryotic small subunit ribosomal RNA", at positions 1786 to 1831 of the family's 1831-position model. The record is from RNAcentral.
AAGUCGUAACAAGGUUUCCGUAGGUGAACCUGCGGAAGGAUCAUUAAUGAAUUUUUAAAGGGGAAUUGAUGCUGGUCUGUUAAAGGACAUGUGCUCGUUCUCUCUUAAUCCUUUCUUAACACACCUGUGCACUUGUUAACGAUUAUCAGAGUCAGUUUGAGGAGCAAUCCUUGACCCCUCUGCUUAAUUUUGACCACACACUCCUUAUUAUUUUCUUAUGAAUGUUUAUCAAGUCGAAAGGCUUUUAAAUUAUAAUACAACUUUUAACAACGGAUCUCUUGGCUCUC